AAAGAACAAUGAAGAAGCUUGCCUUCAGCUCACUCAAGCUGUUCAAGGAGCACUUGGGGCAGAUCAAGAGCUGUGUUAUUUUGAGUCUGCAAAAUAACCAGUGCGUUUUCUGUGGUGUAAACGCUGACUGAACAAAAAACUGAAAGGUGGUCCCAUCCCUUGGGGGACUGGAACCUGGUAUUAGCCAUCUGACCAAGAAAUGAUUAGAACAGUCACUGGAGAGGAUAAGGUUACAAGCUAACUCUAAAAAUGAAGUUGUGACAAAUGACACUUUGUGUGCAAAUUGUUAAAGACGGAGAAUUUCAAUGUUAAUUUUUAUUAGGGAUGAAAGAUAAAGAAGAUGCAAGGUGAAAAACAGAGUUUAGGGGAAAUUCUUCAAACUUUUGCUCAACUAACUUCCAUGGGAAUUCAUUUGAAUAACAACUUUGAGAAUCAAGAUAUGGAAAUAAUUAUUCUCUCUCAACAAGCUGGAUAGCUUGUCAGCUAUCAGUACUACCACAGAUUUCUGCAUGUACUGAGCUGGGCCAACCCCUGAGAAAUGAAGCUACAUCAAGCUGAUUUGUUUGUCUUCCAUUCUAAGGACUGUACACUUCUAAAAAGCACAACAUUCAUGUCUAGGCCUGGCAAGGACUGACACCUUUCUUCUUUUAUCCCCCUCUUCUUGUUCCGAUCAAUAUCCUAGGUGUGUUGUUCAUUCGUUCUUUUUGGUG
Lepidothrix coronata (blue-crowned manakin) is the source of this 710-nucleotide long non-coding RNA. RefSeq lists it as uncharacterized. The record is from RefSeq and is a predicted model, not a curated record. Lineage: Eukaryota; Metazoa; Chordata; Aves; Passeriformes; Pipridae. The transcript is spliced from 4 exons.